GUAGCUUAGCACGAAAUGACUGUGUGUUAGACAUGUAAUUAGGAAAGUUGGCAUAAGCUCGGAAGUAUCCAUCACCACAAAUGCUUUUGGCUGGUGUAGGUGGUGCGUUGGACCGUCCAGAACCUGCAAACCGAGGAGUAGUUUGUGCAGAGGCAAACUUGCAUUGUUCGUCUGCUAGAAAGCUCCAGUUAACAUCCUGAAGAUGACGGCAAUCUGGGAUUGAUAGACGAGCUGGAAGUGGACAGGGGAGUGGUGAUGACAUAGCUUGAGAAUGCUGCUCAUCGCCAGAUUCAGACAUACAAGCAUUGUUCAUUCUACGCGACCUUGAUUUGGUCCUGAAUGUGUCAAUUUCUACAAUUUUUGGGCUUUCAUCAAAUCCAUCAUACGAUGUAUCAUUCGAAGUUGAAAGCCUCUUGCUAUGGAAUUCACUUCUAUAUUCAUCAAAUCUUUCAAUGGACCUCCUAGCUCGGGUCUCGGGUUGGUUUCUAGUGUCAUUAGUCAUUGAACGACGAGCUCUUUGAGAUCGAACAGCAGCCUGCGCUCUGAUGAGCGCCUGCAUACUGUGAAGAGUUGCAGCUGCUCUUUUUCGCACAAGGUAGCCCCUUACUAGAGCCUGCAAUUUCACCAACCCUUUGAGAGCUCUAAGAGCUUUUCU
Molecule: unclassified non-coding RNA, 655 nt
Filed under: Hevea brasiliensis (rubber tree)
Lineage: Eukaryota; Viridiplantae; Streptophyta; Magnoliopsida; Malpighiales; Euphorbiaceae
Source: RNAcentral